AACGAACGCUGGCGGCAUGCCUAACACAUGCAAGUCGAACGAGACCUUCGGGUCUAGUGGCGCACGGGUGCGUAACGCGUGGGAACCUGCCCUUAGGUUCGGAAUAACUCCCCGAAAGGGGUGCUAAUACCGGAUAAUGUCUUCGGACCAAAGAUUUAUCGCCUUUGGAUGGGCCCGCGUUGGAUUAGCUGGUUGGUAGGGUAAAAGCCUACCAAGGCGAGGAUCCAUAGCUGGUCUGAGAGGAUGAUCAGCCACACUGGGACUGAGACACGGCCCAGACUCCUACGGGAGGGAGCAGUGGGGAAUAUUGGACAAUGGGCGAAAGCCUGAUCCAGCAAUGCCGCGUGAGUGAUGAAGGCCUUAGGGUUGUAAAGCUCUUUUACCCGGGAUGAUAAUGACAGUACCGGGAGAAUAAGCACCGGCUAACUCCGUG
Molecule: ribosomal RNA, 433 nt
Filed under: uncultured bacterium
Lineage: Bacteria
Description: partial 16S ribosomal RNA
Rfam family: Bacterial small subunit ribosomal RNA
Source: RNAcentral